Juglans microcarpa x Juglans regia is the source of this 3624-nucleotide RNA transcript. It is a transcript of the gene named probable alpha,alpha-trehalose-phosphate synthase [UDP-forming] 9, with no coding region annotated. Lineage: Eukaryota; Viridiplantae; Streptophyta; Magnoliopsida; Fagales; Juglandaceae. The record is from RefSeq and is a predicted model, not a curated record. The transcript has 5 exons.
UGUUGAACCAACCAUUAUCAAUGACAAAGUAAGCACACACCGACCCGAACGGAACCUCUAUCCAUACAUACAUUUUUAAUAAAUAAUAUAUAUUUUCACAUACUUUUUCUCAGUCCGUUUCGAACCCAUACAUUAAAGCUCCUCACAAAUCUCACCAGUUUCGAACCUAAUCUACUCUCUCACCAUUUCUUUUCUUUCACGCUCAUGUGAUUCUUUUUCCUACUUUUUCCUUUUUUUUUUUUUCUCUCUUUGUAAGCUCCUUCUCAUUGCUGCAACGAAGGGUCUGUUUGGGGUGCUCGGGAUUCUUUUUUUUGUAGGUAUGGGUAUAGCUACAGCUCCGUUGAAUUUGCUUCUGGGAGAUGAUGCAUUUUUUUAUUUUUUUUUUGUGUGUUGUUUCUCUGAUUUCUUGGUGACUAAACGGAACUCGCAUUGUUAUCUGAUUUUUGUGUGAUUUCUUCUCAGAAAAUUGAUCGUUACUGUCAUCGCGUUGCUUACUUGAAGCUCCAUUGUUGGAUCAUUUUGAUCUCGGUUCAGGCAAUCAUGGUGUCAAGGUCUUACAUGAGUUUGUUGGAAUUUGCAUCUGGGGACAUGUUAAAUUUCCCUCAGACUCCUAGAAUCCUUCCAAGGGUGAUGACUGUUCCCGGAAUCAUUUCUGAUGUAGACAGUGGUGCAAGUAGUAAUGAAGAUUUAGAUGUUCCCUCUAAAAUCCGUGAAAAGAUAAUUAUAGUGGCAAAUUUUCUCCCUCUAAAUGCUCAAAAGGACCCAGAAUCUGGCAGAUGGUGCUUUAGUUUUGACGAGGAUGCACUUUUAUUGCAACUGAAGGAUGGUUUCUCAUCUGAUAGUGAUGUUGUUUAUGUGGGAUCUCUGAAGGUUGACAUUGAUGCCAGAGAGCAAGAAGAAGUUUCCCAAAGACUGCUGGAGGAGUUUAAUUGUGUGCCCACAUUCCUCCCUCCUGACCUCCAGAAAAAGUUCUAUCAUGGGUUCUGCAAGCAAUAUUUGUGGACCCUUUUUCACUACAUGCUGCCCCUGUCCCCAGACCACGGUAAUCGCUUUGACCGGAUGCUUUGGCAGGCCUAUGUUUCUGCGAAUAAAAUAUUUGCUGAUAAGGUUAUGGAGGUCAUCAAUCCUGAAGAUGAUUAUGUGUGGAUUCAUGACUAUCAUCUCAUGGUUCUCCCUACAUUUUUGAGAAAGCGUUUCAAUCGAGUUAGGCUUGGCUUCUUCCUUCAUAGCCCAUUUCCGUCAUCAGAAAUCUACAGGACUCUGCCUGUCAGAGAUGAGAUUCUGAAAGCACUGCUUAAUUCAGAUUUGAUUGGUUUUCAUACGUUCGACUAUGCUCGCCACUUUCUCUCUUGUUGCAGUAGAAUGCUGGGCUUGGAGUAUAAAUCUAAGCGGGGCCACAUUGGACUUGAAUAUUUUGGACGCACAGUUUAUAUCAAAAUUUUGCCCGUGGGCAUUCAUAUGGGUCGACUUGAAUCUGCAUUGAAUCACCCUACUUCUUCCAUCAAGGCCAAAGAGAUCGCAGAGCAAUUCAAGGGGAAAAAGCUUAUUAUUGGUGCUGAUGACAUGGACAUUUUCAAAGGCAUUAGUCUAAAAUUAUUAGCCAUGGAGCAGCUUUUGCAGCAGAAUCAAGAGUUAAGGGGGAAACUUGUUCUGGUGCAAAUUGUAAAUCCUGCAAGGAGCACAGGAAAGGAUGUUCAGGAGGCAAAAAGGGAGACAUAUAUGACUACCAGAAGGAUAAAUAAGGUUUUUGGUUUUCCAGGUUAUGAACCAGUUGUCCUUAUUGAUCGUAAGGUGCCUACAUAUGAGAAGACUGCCUAUUAUGCUUUGGCAGAAUGUUGCAUUGUCAAUGCUGUGAGGGAUGGUAUGAACCUAGUCCCAUACAAGUACAUUGUUUGUAGGCAAGGGACUGCAAAAAUGGAUGAAGCUUUGGGAAUCACCUCUUCAUCUCCUCGUGCUAGUACACUUGUUGUUUCUGAGUUCAUAGGAUGCUCCCCAUCCCUAAGUGGGGCAAUUAGGGUGAACCCAUGGGAUAUUGAUGCUGUGGCCGAUGCGCUAAAUUUGGCCAUCACGAUGCCUGAUUUAGAGAAGCAGUUGCGGCAUGAGAAGCACUUUCGCUACAUUAGCUCUCAUGAUGUGGCUUACUGGUCUUGCAGCUUCCUGCAGGAUCUGGAGAGGGCCUGCAAAGAUCACUAUAGUAAACGAUCCUGGGGCAUUGGUUUUGGUCUUAGUUUCAGAAUUUUGUCUCUAUCUCCCAGUUUUCGGAAGCUUUCGGUUGACCAUAUUGUCUCUGCAUAUAAGAGGACGAAAAGAAGGGCAAUUUUUUUGGAUUAUGAUGGAACAGUUGUGUCUCAAGCUUCAAUUAUUAAAACCCCAACACCUGAAGUCAUCUCUGUUCUGAACAACCUGUGUAAUGACCCUGAGAACACUGUUUUUAUAGUUAGUGGUAGGGGGAAAAGCUCACUUGGUGAAUGGUUUGAUCAAUGUGAGAAUCUGGGUAUUGCGGCUGAGCAUGGAUACUUCAUAAGGUGGAGUAGGACAUCCAAUUGGGAAACCAAUCCCAUUGCCACAGAUUUUGAUUGGAAAAGAAUUGCUGAACCUGUAAUGACAUCAUAUACCGAGACAACUGAUGGCUCCUAUAUAGAGGCCAAGGAGAGUGCCUUGGUGUGGCACCAUCAAGAUGCUGAUCCCGACUUUGGAUCUUGCCAGGCCAAGGAGCUUUUGGAUCAUCUUGAAAAUGUCCUUGCAAAUGAGCCUGUAGUUGUUAAGAGGGGACAGCAUAUUGUUGAAGUAAAACCACAGGGAGUUACUAAAGGAUUGGUUGCAGAGAAAGUUCUCUCAACAAUGAUCAGUAAUAGCAAACCACCGGAUUUUGUUAUGUGCAUUGGGGAUGAUAGAUCCGACGAGGACAUGUUUGAAAGCAUAUCAACCACGUCUUAUAGCUUAUGUUUACCGGCAGCUCUGGAGAUCUUUGCAUGCACUGUUGGCCAAAAACCAAGCAAAGCUAGGUACUAUCUUGAUGAUACUGUGGAUGUUGUGAGAUUGCUUCAAGGUCUGGCCACUGCUUCAAAUAUCAAGCUAAGGUGUAGUUCAGAAACUCAAGUUUCCUUCCAAAAUUCUGCUUGAAAUGCACACAGGUUGAGAAGCAAUGGUGUGGAUAUGGACGUGUUGAAAAGGAUUGCUCUAUUACUACAGCAAUUUGGGAUUGGUCUUUGCUUUUGACAUUUAACUUAUUUGUUGCAAGGUGGGGGGGCUGCUUGAUGCAGCUCAUGGUUCCUUUAGAGAGGCAGAUGAGCACCUGGGAAUAUGGUUGUCUGGAAUCGUCACCGACUGACUGACAUAGCAUUUUUUGUUUACUUUGAAAGGUGGGCCGGUCUGCGUAUCUAUCCGCGCAUAUUAGGCACCAUUCAUCAGAUGUUAAUUACAGGUAUAGUUACCGAUACAUGGAAAGUCAUUCUACUAUGGACGUGUUCCUCCUAGGGCUAUGCUUUCUGGCCGGAGAUCCCAAUGAGGAUGGUACUUUUCACCUUCACCCCUUAAAACUGAACAGGUUUCUUGACCCAGACGAUGUAUAGAGAACUUCAUACUUCACAGAAUGUAAGAUAAUCCUAUUUUUCUUUUGACCUA